Molecule: long non-coding RNA, 501 nt
Filed under: Nicotiana benthamiana
Lineage: Eukaryota; Viridiplantae; Streptophyta; Magnoliopsida; Solanales; Solanaceae
Description: long non-coding RNA (NBEN_LNC012176)
Source: RNAcentral
GGCCUUAUACCUUUCAACAAGACCAUCAGCCUUGUAUUUUAUUUUAUAGACCCAUUUACAGCUAAUGGGUUUCUUACCAGGAGGAAGGAGAACAACAUCCCAAGUAUGGUUAGCUUCCAAAGCAUCAAACUCCUGUCUCAUGGCUGUCUGCCAUGCUGGGACAGAUGCAGCUUGAGAGUAAUACAAAUGUUCAGAUUCCAAAGUAGAAGAAGAGGAACCAGAAAAGGCAUGGAGUUGGCAGACAUAAUCCUUAAGAUAGGAAGGAGGAUUAUGCUGUCUAGUGGACUUUCUAGGAGCAGGACUUGAGUGUGAAUGAGGUAAAACAGGGGGAGAGACAUCAGGAUUGAAAGAAAACUUUCUAGGAACAGGACUGGAGUGUGAAUGAGGUAAAACAGGGGGAGCGACAUCAGGAUUGAAAGAAGGAAGGGAAUAUGGAGCAGCAUCAGUAAAGGCAGGAACAGGAGAAUCAGAUGGAGGGGAUGAAGCAUGGAGAGGAAAAUC